This 520-nucleotide ribosomal RNA is filed under the name uncultured Glomus. RNAcentral describes it as "SSU rRNA". It matches the Rfam family "Eukaryotic small subunit ribosomal RNA", at positions 569 to 1091 of the family's 1831-position model. The record is from RNAcentral. Lineage: Eukaryota; Fungi; Glomeromycota; Glomeromycetes; Glomerales; Glomeraceae.
AGCAGCCGCGGUAAUUCCAGCUCCAAUAGCGUAUAUUAAAGUUGUUGCAGUUAAAAAGCUCGUAGUUGAAUUUCGGGGUCAGUAGGCUGGUCGUGCCACGGGUAUGUACUGGUUUCACUGAUUCCUCCUUCCUGAAGAACCGUAAUGCCAUUAAUUUGGUGUUGCGGGGAAACAGGACUGUUACUUUGAAAAAUUAGAGUGUUUAAAGCAGGCUAACGCUUGAAUACAUUAGCAUGGAAUAAUGAAAUAGGACGAUCGAUCCUAUUUUGUUGGUUUCUAGGAUUGACGUAAUGAUUAAUAGGGAUAGUUGGGGGCAUUAGUAUUCAAUUGUCAGAGGUGAAAUUCUUGGAUUUAUUGAAGACUAACUACUGCGAAAGCAUUUGCCAAGGAUGUUUUCAUUAAUCAAGAACGAAAGUUAGGGGAUCGAAGACGAUCAGAUACCGUCGUAGUCUUAACCAUAAACUAUGCCGGCUAGGGAUCGGAUGAUGUUAAUUUUAUAAUGACUCAUUCGGCGCCUUAA